GUCCCUGUAGCAUAAUGGAUAGUACGUUGGACUUUUAAUCCAAAGGUCGUAGGUUCGAAUCUUAUCUGGGAUG
This is a non-coding RNA of Trichonephila inaurata madagascariensis, 73 nucleotides long. The record is from the annotation of a GenBank genome assembly. Lineage: Eukaryota; Metazoa; Arthropoda; Arachnida; Araneae; Nephilidae.